UACGUAGGGUGCAAGCGUUGUCCGGAAUUAUUGGGCGUAAAGAGCUCGUAGGCGGUUUGUCACGUCGGCUGUGAAAACCCGAGGCUUAACCUCGGGCCUGCAGUCGAUACGGGCAGACUAGAGUGCUGUAGGGGAGACUGGAAUUCCUGGUGUAGCGGUGAAAUGCGCAGAUAUCAGGAGGAACACCGGUGGCGAAGGCGGGUCUCUGGGCAGUAACUGACGCUGAGGAGCGAAAGCGUGGGGAGCAAACAGG
This 253-nucleotide ribosomal RNA is filed under the name uncultured bacterium. RNAcentral's name for it is "partial 16S ribosomal RNA". It matches the Rfam family "Bacterial small subunit ribosomal RNA", at positions 524 to 776 of the family's 1533-position model. The record is from RNAcentral.